GCCUGGGUGGCUCAGUCGGUUAAGCAUCCGAUUUCGGCUCAGGUCAUGAUCCCACGGUUCGUGGGUUCAAGCCCCACGUCGGGCU
Molecule: transfer RNA, 85 nt
Organism: Felis catus (domestic cat)
Lineage: Eukaryota; Metazoa; Chordata; Mammalia; Carnivora; Felidae
Rfam family: tRNA
About the family: Transfer RNA (tRNA) molecules are approximately 80 nucleotides in length.
Source: Rfam